UACGGAGGGUGCAAGCGUUAUCCGGAUUCACUGGGUUUAAAGGGUGCGUAGGCGGUCUUGUAAGUCAGUUGUGAAAUACGGCAGCUUAACUGUCGAGGUGCAAUUGAUACUGCAGGACUUGAGUACUGAUGAGGUAGGCGGAAUGGACGGUGUAGCGGUGAAAUGCUUAGAUAUCGUCCAGAACACCGAUAGCGAAGGCAGCUUACUAAGGAGUAACUGACGCUGAGGCACGAAAGUGUGGGGAUCAAACAGG
Molecule: ribosomal RNA, 253 nt
Filed under: uncultured prokaryote
Description: partial 16S ribosomal RNA
Rfam family: Bacterial small subunit ribosomal RNA
Source: RNAcentral